CGGCCUUGACAUACUAAGAACUUUCCAGAGAUGGAUUGGUGCCUUCGGGAACUUAGAUACAGGUGCUGCAUGGCUGUCGUCAGCUCGUGUCGUGAGAUAUUGGGUUAAGUCCCGNAACGAGCGCAACCCUUUUCCUUAUUUGCCAGCGGGUCAUGCCGGGAACUUUAAGGAUACUGCCAGUGACAAACUGGAGGAAGGCGGGGACGACGUCAAGUCAUCAUGGCCCUUACGGCCAGGGCUACACACGUGCUACAAUGGUCGGUACAAAGGGUUGCUACCUCGCGAGAGGAUGCUAAUCUCAAAAAGCCGAUCGUAGUCCGGAUCGCAGUCUGCAACUCGACUGCGUGAAGUCGGAAUCGCUAGUAAUCGCGGAUCAGAAUGCCGCGGUGAAUACGUUCCCGGGCCUUGUACACACCGCCCGUCACACCAUGGGAGUUUGUUGCACCAGAAGUAGGUAGUCUAACCGCAAGGAGGACGCUUACCACGGUGUGGCCGAUGACUGGGGUGAAGUCGUAACAAGGUAAGCGUAGAUGA
RNAcentral lists this ribosomal RNA (534 nucleotides) under uncultured bacterium. RNAcentral's name for it is "bacterial SSU rRNA". It matches the Rfam family "Bacterial small subunit ribosomal RNA", at positions 976 to 1509 of the family's 1533-position model. The record is from RNAcentral.